CCUACGGUGGGCAGCAGUGAGGAAUAUUGGUCAAUGGCCGGAAGGCUGAACCAGCCAUGCCGCGUGAAGGUCAGUGCCCUUUGGGCGUUAAACUUCUUUUGUGCGGGAACAAUAAUGGUCACGUGUGGCCAGACGAGAGUACCGUACGAAUAAGCAUCGGCUAACUCCGUGCCAGCAGCCGCGGUCAUACGGGGGAUGCAAGCGUUAUCCGGAUUGAUUGGGUUUAAAGGGUGCGUAGGCUGUGAGGUAAGUCAGCGGUGAAAUGCCCCCGCUCAACGGGGUGAAGUGCCAUUGAUACUGCCAUGCUGGAAUGCGGAUGCGGUGGGAGGAAUGUGUGGUGUAGCGGUGAAAUGCAUAGAUAUCACACAGAACACCGAUUGCGAAGGCAUCUAACGAAUCCGCGAUUGACGCUGAUGCACGAAAGCGUGGGUAUCAAACAGGAUUAGAUACCCUGGUAGUC
RNAcentral lists this ribosomal RNA (460 nucleotides) under uncultured bacterium. RNAcentral's name for it is "partial 16S ribosomal RNA". It matches the Rfam family "Bacterial small subunit ribosomal RNA", at positions 338 to 795 of the family's 1533-position model. The record is from RNAcentral.